AUGACAGCCUGUUCUAUCGCUCUGGGUUUCAAUAUCCAGGGAGGAAAGUCGGGACAACACAGAGUAGCCUGCUUCCUAACAGGAAGGUAUCGCGAUGAGCGGUAACAGAAAGUGCCACAGAAAAUAACCGUCGAAUACUGGUUCGACCAGUAAACGAUAAGGGUGAAAACGUGAGGUAAGAGCUCACGCCUUAAGGUGGUGACAUCUUGAGGGGGUAAACCUCAGGCGUUGAAAGGCCAAAUAAACCAGGGAUGCUUUGUCAUAAAAGUGAGAGGGUUACUCGCCCAAUCCUGGAGGGUAGGCCGAUAGAGAUAACAGGUGACUGUUAUCCCAGAUAAAUGAUAGAAAUCCUUUUCUAAGGAUACAGAAUCCCGCUUAUAGGGCUGCCAUCUUU
Bacteroidetes bacterium 38_7 is the source of this 394-nucleotide non-coding RNA. NCBI's taxonomy places the organism in Bacteria, Pseudomonadati, Bacteroidota. The record is from Rfam.